GCAGAUCUGUGAGUAAGGAGCCAGCUGCAGGCAAGCAGCUCGAGGGCAGGUGGGCAUGAUGUCUGGCUACCACUCGCACUGGACGCCACACACACAGCCAGGGUGGCAGAAGGCCCCACCUGCCAUGUGCCAGUGGGACACCACCCUCAUGGUCUGCGUUUCCAGGUUUCCAACUAAGGACUGAGCACACUCUCAACAUGGACCUCCUAACUGCUCUCGAGGAUGGACAGCUGGCCUCAAGGGAACACUGCAAAGUGGCUCUAGGAAGAAGCCACUGUCCCUCCAGACCAUAAAAAUGGCUACCAAGGGCAGAGCCAGCAGCUUUCGCUGUAAAGUUUCUCAAGAAAAUCACAGAUAUUCCCCUCUGUGAUGUUCAGCUCAGCCUGGAAAGGAGGACGCUGAACUAAACAGAAGAGAAACAGGGAAAUAAACAGCAUGGCAACCUACAUCAACAGAAACUUAAUUAUUCACCCUGGAUAACUGAGUGUGUGAGUGUGACUGCAAAUAACAAUAUAGCAAAGAGAAGUUUGAGAUCUUUGGCUCAGUCAUUCUAGAAUCCUGAGUCACAGCAAAUGCACAGCCUCCAUGAGGCUGAGCCACACAUGAAAGCUGCUUCCACCCACAGACUGGUAGAGGCCACUGACAUGCUUAACGAUGAUGAUGAUGAUAAAAAUAGCUACCACGGGCUACCACGUGCACACACAUGUUAAGCAGUUCAAACAGGUUAUUUUGUUUAAUUCAUACCACAAAUCUUUGAGGUAAGUAUUCUUGUUCCCGUUUUAUAGAGGUAGAAACUGAGAGUUGAAGAGGCUGAAUAAUUUCUCAAGCACACUCCCAACUCGACCACCCACAAGCAAAAAGGCAGAGCUGGGAUUCAAACACAGGUAUGACUGUGUGUGGACAUCUCCCCUGUGCUAUGCUCCCUGAAGGAAAAUUCUAAGUGGUGUUGUUUCUGGGAGAAAUCUACCUGUGUGGUCUUUAAACCUACUCUGACAGGAGCAAGGGCCACCACUCUGUAUCUAAGACCACUGGGAACAGUCUUCAGGCAACAAGGUGACCAGGGCAGCUGCAGAGGGUAUCUAUGCCCCUGCCCCCUAGCGCAAAAGUCUGUUUCUCUUUCCAAAUGGCCCGCUGGGAGCAACUAUUUAGGGAGACCAUACCUCCUCCCACACUCAGUUCCCAGGCCUGAGCCACAGAGUCCUGCCACAGGAGGGAGGACCUGCCUGUCCUGCUCCCUCCCCACUCCAGGUUCCUGGAGGCCUCUGUGAUGAUUCCCCAGGAAGGACUACAGGAUCUGGCAGGCAGCAGGUGGCGGUGGGAGGAGGAGAGUCCUGGGAGCACAGCACUCCUAACCCCCUCUGCCUCUCACAGAACAAAGAGGGAGUCAUGCCAUGUCCCCUGCUCCCACAAAUGCCCCACCCAGAGGGGCUAAUGCCUAGGAUUGAGGGUCUUGUGUGCUGAGGAAGUCCUGUCCCCCAAUCCCCUACAAAAGCCAGAACCAGCUACUAAGGGGUUAGACACAGACAGAACUGUCUAUAUUAACAUUUCCUCCUAAAAAACAACAGGAAUCCUGGGGAAAGACCACUGGCCUGGGACUCCAUGAGCCCUGGCUUCUAUCUCUGGCUUUAUCAGGUGACCAUAGGCAAGUCACCUAGCCUCCAUGGUCUAGGCUCUCCUGCCUGUUGGGUGGGAAUCAUUACAUAUCACAAUCAUUACAGCUGACCUUCAGGGAGGCUGUACUCUGGGUCAGGAAUUGUGUUGGGUGCAUUAUCAUAUUUAUUCUCACAGCACCCUUUGCAGUAGCUACUAUUUUCAUACCCAUUCUCAGAUGAGGAAACUGUGGAACAGGCUGGUUAGGGGACAUGCCCAAAGUGACAAACUUAGCAAAGGUGGACCUGGCACUCAGUACCACAUCUGUUUUUCCAUGCUCUUAACCACUGUAACAUACAGAGCCCUUUUACAGAGAUCAAGGACAGAGGUAAAAGUGUUUUGAAAGCAAAAAAAAAAAAGUGGGGAGGAUGCAUAAAAUAAACAUAAAUCACCCCCUGCCCCGCCCAGACAUAAUUCAGGGAAGAGUCCUAACCCCCAAGAACCUUCUGUGGAACUUAUUCGCAACAUCAGAGACCUCCAACAUAGAAAUGACCCUCAAUAAGUCAUUCCUCUUUCCCUUCAGGCAGGAAUAAUAUAACUAACUGAAUUAUACAGGUGAGACCACGAAGGUCAAGCAAGGGUGACCAGCUUAGGCCCCUGGCUGGCAGGUAAGGAGGAGACUGACCCCAGCCUCCUGGCUCCUAGGGGAGGAAACAGUGAUGACAAAGGCCCCUUUGCAUGGCCAAGGUGGAGCCCUUUCUACCAAAGUUUAAACGUUUUAGUAUAAUAUCCAAGUGCAUCUUUUCCAACCUUAAAAACAUAUUUAAUUUCCUUAUAAAGCUGGUUGGCACUCUCCUCCUCCUCCAAAGCUCUGUAUUAGGCAGGGUUCAUAGUUGUAGACAACAGAAUGAACAGUGGUUAGUUCAGCCAGAAAAGGGAUGAUAUAGGAGGAUACUGGGUUGAUCAAAGGCUCUCUGGGAGGGCUGCAGAUUUAGAGCCAGUCAGCCAGGAACGAUGCCUGAAACAUACCUUAGAGCUGGAGAAAGAACAAAACCCUACCUUUCUUCAAUAGCUGGCAAGGUGGCAAGGUCUGGCCCCAUGCAGCCUGGGCUCUUCCCACUCUCCUCUCUCCCUAAUGCGUUGCCCUACUCGCUGCUUCCCAGGCAAUCCCACCUCAGGUCUAUGAACUUGCCAUUCCCUCUGCCUGCAACCUAGACAUUCACAUUGCUAGCUCCCUGGCUAGCUCAAAUGCCAGGUUUCUGCACAAAUGCUCCUCCUUAGAGAGGCCUUCCUGGACCUCUAGGUCUCUGGCCCUAGUACUCUAUCCCCUCUCCCUGCUUUCCUCUUCUACUUCACUGCUCCUUAACAUUGUGUUAUACAUUGUCUGUCUCCCCAACUGGAAUGUAAGUGGCACCAGGGCAGGGACUUGGGUUGUUUUGUUCCUUGCUGUAAGCCCAGGGCCCAGGGCCAGACCUGGAACAAUUAGGUGCUAAGUUAUUUGCUGAAUAUUCUAUGAAGGAAUGACAAAGGAAUGCAUAAAGAACUUCAAAGUUCAACUCCUCGAACUUCAAACUUCAAAUCCCCAACUCCUCCUGCCUAUGCUGGACGAUUAGGGCAGUAACAGGAGUCAACUUGUGCUGUGCUGUCACCUUGCCUGGAUCCGCAUCAGCCCUGCAGCUCCCACUUUGGAGGAGACUUGCCCAGGGACCUACAGCUCUGAAGCUUCUCUGACAGCCUCUGCAGCUCUUGGAACUUAUCUGGGCUGCUGCUGUGCAGACCAUGGAUGCAUAGCUGAGUUCCUGCCCCUGAUUUCCUAGAGUCUCAGAAAGACAGGGAAGUGACUUACCCAAAGUCCCCUUUCACCCUAUAAACAGUUCAGCCCAGGGAGUGAGGCUGACACGCAAAUGCAGCUAUGUAUAGACUCAGAGUCAUCCAAGGUCAGGGCUGGGUGGAGCCUUGGUCACAUGCAGGCCAACCUGUGUCUGGAGAUAAUGCAAGCCAGUGCAGGGGUUAGCGUGUACAUGGACUCUGGAGUCUGGCAGAUCUAAGCCCCACCCACCAACCUGUGACCUUGGAGAAUUAUUUGAAAAGACAUUAUUUGAAAAGCAGAUGUAAAAUGGAAAUAAAAGUUCCUAUUUAAAACAGUCAGUUGUCCCCCAUU
RNAcentral lists this long non-coding RNA (3751 nucleotides) under Homo sapiens (human). RNAcentral's name for it is "non-protein coding lnc-IRF1-2:5". The record is from RNAcentral. Lineage: Eukaryota; Metazoa; Chordata; Mammalia; Primates; Hominidae.